ACUCCGGUUGAUCCUGCCGGACCCGACUGCUAUCAGAGUGAGAUUAAGCCAUGCGAGUUAACGUAGCAAUACGUGGCGCACGGCUCAGUAACACGUAGUCAACAUGCCCAGGGGACGUGGAUAACCUCGGGAAACUGAGUCUAAACCGCGAUAUGUCAGGAUUUCUGGAAUGGUUCCUGACUAAAAUCUAUAUGGCCUCUGGAUUGGACUGCGGCCGAUCAGGCUGUUGGUGAGGUAAUGGCCCACCAAACCUGUAACCGGUACGGGCUCUGAGAGGAGGAGCCCGGAGAUGGGCACUGAGACAAGGGCCCAGGCCCUAUGGGGCGCAGCAGGCGCGAAACCUCUGCAAUAGGCGAAAGCCUGACAGGGUUACUCUGAGUGACUUUCGCUAAGAAAGUCUUUUGGCACCUCUAAAAAGGGUGCAGAAUAAGGGGUGGGCAAGUCUGGUGUCAGCCGCCGCGCUAAUACCAGCACCCCGAGUGGUCGGGACGAUUAUUGGGCCUAAAGCAUCCGUAGCCGGUUCUGCAAGUCCUCCGUUAAAUCCAGCUGCUCAACAGAUGGGCCGCGGAGGAUACUACAGAGCUAGGAGGCAGGAGAGGCAAGCGGUACUCAGU
Molecule: ribosomal RNA, 614 nt
Filed under: Thermoproteota archaeon
Lineage: Archaea; Thermoproteati; Thermoproteota
Description: bacterial SSU rRNA
Rfam family: Archaeal small subunit ribosomal RNA
Source: RNAcentral